AAAUCGUGAUUGGGAGACCGCUGCAAAUACUACUUGAACCUCUCCCAAGCCUCAUAUAAUUUCUCCCCCGAAAGCUGCUUGAACUCAUAAAUUUAUCAUAAAUUU
Small nucleolar RNA from Lycium barbarum (goji berry), 105 nucleotides. The record is from RefSeq and is a predicted model, not a curated record. Lineage: Eukaryota; Viridiplantae; Streptophyta; Magnoliopsida; Solanales; Solanaceae.